This 464-nucleotide ribosomal RNA is filed under the name uncultured bacterium. RNAcentral's name for it is "partial 16S ribosomal RNA". It matches the Rfam family "Bacterial small subunit ribosomal RNA", at positions 339 to 795 of the family's 1533-position model. The record is from RNAcentral.
CUACGGGGCGCACCAGUGGGGAAUAUUGGACAAUGGGGGAAAAAGUGAGACAGCAAUGCCGCGUGUGUGAAGAAGGCCCUCUUGCUGUAAAGCACUUUCGGGGGGGAGGAAUGGUUCUAGCACUAAUAUUGUUGGAAGUUGACGUUACCUUCAGAAGAAGCACCGGCUAACUCCGUGCCAGCAGCCGCGGUAAUACGGAGGUGCAAGCGUUAAUCGGAAUUACUGGGCGUAAAGCGCGCGUAGGCGGCUAGAUCAGUCGGGUGUGAAAGCCCCGGGCUUAACCUGGGAACUGCAUCCGAUACUGUCUAGCUUGAGUACAGGAGAGGAGAGUGGAAUUCCACAUGUAGCGGUGAAAUGCGUAGAUAUGUGGAGGAACACCAAUGGCGAAGGCAGCUCUCUGGCCUGAUACUGACGCUGAGGUGCGAAAGCGUGGGGAGCAAACAGGAUUAGAUACCCGCGUAGUC